Molecule: ribosomal RNA, 1022 nt
Filed under: Rathayibacter festucae
Lineage: Bacteria; Bacillati; Actinomycetota; Actinomycetes; Micrococcales; Microbacteriaceae
Description: bacterial SSU rRNA
Rfam family: Bacterial small subunit ribosomal RNA
Source: RNAcentral
UGCAGUCGAACGAUGAAGCCCAGCUUGCUGGGUGGAUUAGUGGCGAACGGGUGAGUAACACGUGAGUAACCUGCCCUUGACUCUGGGAUAAGCGCUGGAAACGGCGUCUAAUACCGGAUACGACCUGCCCCGGCAUCGGGUGCGGGUGGAAAGUUUUUCGGUCAAGGAUGGACUCGCGGCCUAUCAGGUAGUUGGUGAGGUAAUGGCUCACCAAGCCGACGACGGGUAGCCGGCCUGAGAGGGUGACCGGCCACACUGGGACUGAGACACGGCCCAGACUCCUACGGGAGGCAGCAGUGGGGAAUAUUGCACAAUGGGCGAAAGCCUGAUGCAGCAACGCCGCGUGGGGGAUGACGGCCUUCGGGUUGUAAACCUCUUUUAGUAGGGAAGAAGGGCUUCGGCUUGACGGUACCUGCAGAAAAAGCACCGGCUAACUACGUGCCAGCAGCCGCGGUAAUACGUAGGGUGCAAGCGUUGUCCGGAAUUAUUGGGCGUAAAGAGCUCGUAGGCGGUUUGUCGCGUCUGCUGUGAAAACCCGAGGCUCAACCUCGGGCCUGCAGUGGGUACGGGCAGACUAGAGUGCGGUAGGGGAGAAUGGAAUUCCUGGUGUAGCGGUGGAAUGCGCAGAUAUCAGGAGGAACACCGAUGGCGAAGGCAGUUCUCUGGGCCGUUACUGACGCUGAGGAGCGAAAGCGUGGGGAGCGAACAGGAUUAGAUACCCUGGUAGUCCACGCCGUAAACGUUGGGAACUAGAUGUGGGGACCUUUCCACGGUCUCCGUGUCGCAGCUAACGCAUUUAAGUUCCCCGCCUGGGGAGUACGGCCGCAAGGCUAAAACUCAAAGAAUUGACGGGGCCCGCACAAGCCGGCGGAGCUUGCGGAUUUAAUUCAAUGCAACCCGAAAGAACCUUACCAAAGGCUUGACAUUAUACCGGAAACCUCCAAAAAUGGUUGCCCCCCAAGGUCGGUAUACAAGUGGUGCAUGGUUGUCGUCAGCUCGUGUCGUGAGAUGUUGGUUAAGUC